CUGGCUCGCGGCCCCCAAGCUGCGUUGACCCGCGCAGGCCUAGGCGGUUGCGAACACCCGCCUCCUAGUCCCCACGCGCCGACUUCCGGUCUUUUUCUACAUCUAUUGGUCAACCUCUGUAACCAUCGCGUCACGACCUUAAAGUGGAUUAGUUGGCCUUGUGGUCAGUCAUAGUGACCCCUGACAAGGGGAGGCUUCAUUGGCGCCAUAAAGUGUCGAUCACUUUGUCACAGGACGUCGCGUGGUACAAUUGGCAGGCAAUAGUACCAUUCAUCCCGCCCCCGUCUGAGGUGACGGGAAAGGGUUGGGGAAUUUCCACUUCUGAUUAAAAUGACGGCUGAGGUGACGACCCGCCAGAAUUAGUGAGAUUUGGAGUAGAAUUCACCCUGAGCUUGGUGAGGCUUAUACGUUAAGGAUGCAAGAGGCACAGAGGUUACCAAGCUCCCACCUGUCGCUCUCCGCCAGACGCCGAGACUGCGGCCGGAGAGUUGCUGCACGGGGAUUGGAGGAAUGAAGCAAUCAGUCUCGUCUAGUCCCCACCUUCCUCGCAGUCUCUGGUUGGAGGAGCGGAGCGUCAGUCACUAGAGCGGGCGCCACCUCUGGGACAGGAAUUUGUUGUCAACUCCUGGACAGCUCCUAUAGUAGAAUUCAGCACCAGGAGAAGAGGUAAGAAGCAGUGAACUGGCCUCACACCAGGAUUAUUUUCCUUGUACUCACCUUCUUUUCUCAUUUUCGACCAGUCGGCAAUUCCUCCCUUCUUAUUCAAAGGUUUCUCCUAAUCCUCCUCCUAAUAUCGGUCUACAUUUGAGAAGUAGAUACAGACACAUUCCUGCCUUCCCCAAUGUCUCCUCUUGAUUGCUCUUAGGAAAAAUGACCUAAGAUGUCUCUGACCACAGUAUAUAUGGACAAGUACAUACUCUGGUCCAUUUGCAAAGACAGAAAUCUAGAGUGUUGGGAAACAUGAGGUCCUGGACAAGGGGACAGAAGGACACAGAACCUCAGGGAAAAUCAGAACCUCAGGCCAAGAGCCCAAGGAAUUCACAUUAUAACAACCUAAUACCCACAAAAGUGUGAAAGUCAUUGUCCCACAGCUACAGACUAGAGAAGAGAGGACCUAUGUUACUGAUAUGGAGAGAUUUUCCCUGGGGCUAGGGAGGCUCUAAUAACCCUCCAUACAGCCCUGAGUUUUUCAUCUAAACAUCUUAAAAAUGUUAUAGGCAUCAAUUAACCCUUAUAGCACCCUAGAAUCAGGACUGUGGCCCGAUUUUACUGACAGAAAACUGAAGAGUGUGGGUUAGAGCCAGGAAAGGAAUGUUUCAGGCUCACAUGGCCUGGACUGAGCAAGCUAAGGGCUACAUCUGAAGCCAGAGCUCACCUCAUAGUCUUCCCCUUAUGACAGUGGUUCCCAAUCUGGGGACUGUAGGACACUUAAAUUCAUGUCUCUGUUUACCAUGUCUUGGCUGCAGGCAGAUGAUAAUUUAGUUGGUUCCUUGUCAUGCAGGUGCCAGCUUAAAGAUCACCUGCUCAGAGAGGCCUCCCUUGAGCAUCCAUCUCUAGUAAACUUCUCCCAGUCCCUAUCAUAUUACUGAUUUUCUUCAGUGUACUUGUCAUUAUCCCAGAUAAUGUUAUUUUUUGUUUGUUAUUUCUGUCUUUCAGUAUAAACUCCAUGAUGUUAGAAAUUUUAUCUGACAAGACAUUGCUGAUGUUCAAUAAGUAUUUGUUGAAUGUUUAAAUAAGUCUAAAUAAAGAUGUUUUCAACAUUAUGUAGAUGCUGCUGAAAUGAGUAAAAUACAUAACUAUCUAAGUUUAAAUUAUACUUUUGGUAUAUAUUUCUCUCAAUCAAUAGGUACUCAGGCUGUAAUGUUAGGAGCCUUUUUAAAAAAACAUUUAGAAGAGCCGGGCACCUGUGUGGUUCAGUCAUUAUACAUCUCACUUUGACUCAGGUCAUGAUUUCACCGUUAGUGAGUUCAAGUCCCACAUGGGUGAACUCAAGCCCCACCAGGUGAGACCCACUUCUCUCUCUCUCUCUCUCUCUCUCUCUCUCCCCCUCCCCCCCCCCUCACUCACUUGGGUACUCUUGCUCUCUCAAAAAUAAAAAAAUAAAAAAUAAAAAAACAACAUCUUUAAAAAAAAAAAGGCACUAAAAAGAGCCUUCAAAAUUUCCACUUCUGGGGCACCUGGCUGGUUCAUGGUGGAAUGUGCAACUCUUGAUCUUGGGGUUGUGAGUUUGAGCCCCAAAUUGGGGGGAGAAUUUACUUAAAAAUAAAACAUUAUAGAAAAAAGAAUUUCCACUUCUGGCCUUGUAUAGAUUAAACUUUUUGAAUAGCCUUCCUGACUAAAACAACUAAAAUGCUAGAUGCUAGAUUAAAUAUAAUUUUUAACUUUAAAAUUCACAGAUGAACUGACAUACACAAGUGCUCUAUCAUUACUCUUUAAUUUCACUCCUAGGUAUAUACUCUGAAGAAAUUCUUGUACUUGCGUAUAUGAUACCUUGUGUAUAUGAUACCUUUUUCAGAUUAUAAGGUUAUUCAUUCUAUGCAGAUUACAAAAAGAAUGAGGUAGAUAAAGAAUGUAUGUACCAACAGGGGAACAUAUUCAACUCACAUUAAGUGACAAACAUGUAGAACUCAAGAGUAUAAUCCCAUUUUAAUAAAAAUAUUAACUUGUCCCUUGAAAUAAAUCUGAACAAUAUACACUAAAAUGUGAACACUGGUUAUCACUGGCAUGGUUUUCAUUUCAAAAUUAUAUGUGUCUUUGAUGUUUUGAUAUUUUCAAUAACCUCAUUUACUUUUGUGGUCAAAAAUCAGUAAAGUUUUUUUUUUUUAUGUAUAGAAAACUGUUUUAAAUAG
Herpailurus yagouaroundi (jaguarundi) is the source of this 2849-nucleotide long non-coding RNA. RefSeq lists it as uncharacterized. The transcript is spliced from 2 exons. Lineage: Eukaryota; Metazoa; Chordata; Mammalia; Carnivora; Felidae. The record is from RefSeq and is a predicted model, not a curated record.